UCACCAAUGGAGAUGGCCUA
Molecule: non-coding RNA, 20 nt
Filed under: Arabidopsis thaliana (thale cress)
Lineage: Eukaryota; Viridiplantae; Streptophyta; Magnoliopsida; Brassicales; Brassicaceae
Source: RNAcentral